GCCUGGCCACAGCAAGGUACAACGAUCUAGCCAAGUACCUAACAGAUGAACAAAAAAGGAAGGACUCUGAACAAAGGAGGAGCGAAUCUAAGCUAGAAAGCAUCUACAUCGACAAACCUCAGCAGAAUGUGACAGAAGUCGUCAAGGUAUUCACUUUUCACUUUAGGAAUGUAAAAUGUGAAACAUAGGGUUUUAAUUGAUUGCUUUUUAUAUCUAUUGUUUAGGAGAUAAAAUCUCUGCCCUUCCUGAAGAGGUUAACUAACUUGUGGAUGACGAAAAAAAAAGAAGAUGAUGAACUGUUCAUCGCCAGGGAGUACAUAAAACAUUCCAACUGGACUGAAUACGAGCAAAUGAGUGUCGCUGAAUAUUGCUACGUUGCUAUGAUCUUGGCAGAAAGAUUCAUAAACGGAAAAGACAAUCUUGCACACAUUCUGCCACUACUGAAGUAUUUUCACAAUAGAAUAUACCAAUGCAAUCUUAUGGAAUUCAGAGUAAGCUAUGUUGUGGGAUUCAAGGUUCUAGGUUACUAUUUACCUUCUGCUGCUCAUAAUCAUCAGCUUGUACCGAUUCGUAAACUGGAAGAAUUCCAUGUAGCUGUCUCCCAUCAGCGAUCUAUAAUGGAUCACCCCGACGACUACACCGAGGGGAUUUUUCUUCUACCAUAGCCAUAGCCAGUAUAGUAAAUAAAGCCUGCAGUCAUUUUCUGAUGUAAGUCCAGAUAUAACAACAUAUUGUAAACGCAGCCAGAUGGCUGGUUCAUUUUCUAAUAUAAACUGCAUAUAUAUCAGUUAGUCAGUUAAAUGCCUCAUAAAUAUCUAUACCUGAUAUCGUUUGAUCUAUACAUCAUAUAUGCAUCCAAAUUACCAUUUCGUGCGAUUGAAUUGCAUAUUUCACUGAAAAUGCUUCAGAAUUAGUUAAAUCCUACUACAGAUGAAGAGUUCAUGACUCAUUAAACAGUUAUAUCAAUGUAAUGGAAACAUCUCUACUUUCACAAACACAAUUGGAAUCUGAAUAUAGGUUAAGAUAAAGAAACAAAUAGGAAGGGAAUCAUCUGGAAACAUCAGCAAUGUGUUGAACAACUUUAUCUUUUGCUUUAUUUGUUCAUAAUCUUCUUUAUUUAACAUAAUCUUCUUAACCUUUUCUUCUUUUUCUUCCACUAAAACUAAAAAAAACUGGAAGAAUCAGGAUAUAUCUUGUUUCAACGCAGACCUUGAUGACCAAAAUAAGUUGCUAAUUAAACAGAAGCAUAAGCAUUGUACUAAAACUGUACUAUAUUCAUAAUGUGGAAAGAUUGUCAAACUAUGUUUCAAGUAAAAAUUAUAUCUCUUAAAGCAAAUGUAUCAAAUAAAAAGUAAAAACUAGAAUACUGUUUCGAGUAAGUUUAAGUGUGUCGAGACUUAUACUCACUUAUUCCCCUUGAUCUUGAACCAAGCCUCGGCACAAUGCUUAUGAGCAGCAGCCAGAUCAUCCUUGCACGAACAACCUAAUUCAAUGGCAAUGCCAUUCUCCUGGUGAGCAGCAUCCAUCUCAACACUGAGUUGACAAAUUCUACAAUCCCUCUCCGACUGCACGUUCACUUGAACAACCCGGUUGUCAUCAAUCCAACAGUAGUCUGGUUCAACUACAGAACAGGAAACUCUCCUAGAAUCCAAAACCUGACAGAUUUCAUGAUCAGAAGUAGAGUCAUCAUUUGAGCCAUCAGCAGAAUAAAACUUAGAGUAACAAGAAGCCUCCACUACAACUACAUAAAGCAGUAAUAUUUUACCUAUGACAUUUGGACUACAACUACAGCCCUCCACUUUGUGUUUAAUACACACACACACCAAACGGGAAUAAAAUAUCACAAAGGUACAUAAGAAAAAUCAUAACUGUUAUCGAAGUUAACCACCCAGAAAGCAAAUGACAGUGUCAAGUACAACAUAAAGCGAGAAAAGCUUCAAAUUUGCUAAAAUUCUAACAAAAGGGUUUGAAAAAUCAACAAAAUUAUUGAGAAAGAAGCAGAGGUUGAAAACUUCUAGUUGAAAUGGAAAAGGGCAAACAAUCAAAGAAAUUAGGUUUCCAGAGUAAGUUACAAGCAUGAAUAUGCAAUCUUUAUAUUCAAGACACAGAAAAACAAAGAUAAUUGGCAUGACAAAGCCUUCAGGCUGAAUUUGGCCAGGGCAAGUAGAAAACUUUCCGCAUAUUUAUAAUCUAUACUACAAAAAUCUCAGCUGAUGUGUAAGUUUUUUGUUGAUAAUAUAACUAACCUAAUAUCAGAUCAGCACUCAGCAUAAAAACACCCAAAAUUAUAACAAAUAUUACCAAUGACCUCUUGGUCAGAUAGUAUCACCCUUGCCCAAUUUAUCGGAAAUGGGGGGUUGGAAUCUUGUCUAAAACAAGAUGUGUGUGCUUGUAUGUAAUUACCCCCAAAAGAAUUAUUGUUGCUCUCAAAUCCAGGGUUGGACAUACAAGUCUUGCACUUCCACGAAUCUAUAUUAGUUUUUUUUUCUCUUCUUGUCUAUCAGCUGCAAAACCUUCUUUACUUCUCUUUUAUCUGCAAUACAAUAAGAUAUUUAAUCAUCAAAAACCAAGAACUCUUUGGUAACUGAAGAUGCAUAAAUAACUAGAUUCAUCUUUUACGAAGCGAGAGGCUAAGAAUCCACAACAAUGAGUCUAAGAAUUAAAGACAUUGUUUUCAUCCGAUCUCAACCUAAAUAAGAGAGUAUAUGGGUUUUGAGGAUAUACAACUGAAAAUGUAUGAUUGGUCAGAAAGAUGAAAACUCAACAUUAUUAACAAGAAAUAAAAUAGAAAGUUGUAAACUUGAAAAGGUGCAAUUAAACCUAGGAGGAUUUCUUUGGGAAUCAUUAAUCCAAGCCCUAUUAAAGUAAGUGCAGAGUCCAGAGGUUCUAAGAAAAAGUAAUGUGUUUGAACCAGAAAGAAAAGAACCCUAAGAGAAGGGUAAUCAUUUUUAUUAUACAGAACAUAAAUUGUUAAUUCAGUGUGUGUGUGUGUGUGUGAACAAAAAAAGAAGCACUUUUAAUCCAGGAGGCCACAAACCAAAAUUAAUUGCAACAAUGGAUCCAAAAGAGGGAAGGGGGAGCUUUGCCUCAAUUUGAUGAGAUCUAAACCAAAAGCUAGCAUAAUAAACAUAAAAGAAACAGACAGUUGCGAGCUCCAAAUUGAUUUAAAAAUAGAGCAAUCAAUCAAUCGACUGAAGAAAUUGGGAUGAUAAGGAAAAUAGCAACAACAUUACUUACCAAUAAUGGGAUGUUAUAAACACAUGCACAAGCACAUACACAUAUAUAUUCCAAAUUUCCAUUUAAACACUUUCACCAGGAAAAAAAAAAAUCCAAGACACUCGACAGCGAGAAGUCAUAAUGAUCCGAAAGAACCUGUUAUAGAGCUCAAUACCUAUCUCUACAGAAGUUGAAAUUUAGUAGCAGCAAUAAUAGCCAGAAAGUCCAGAUUAUUGUACAUCUCAGUAGAUACGGCAAUUCACCAAAUGUUCCAAUCCCAUAUCUAGAAAACUUGAAAUUUCAGCCAAAAAAUUGAAAACUUUAUAUUAAAUUGAGAAAAGGAAACUGAACAACCAAACUAAGUACAUAAACUGUGAUUUAGAGCACAUAAUUAAAAAAGAAAAGAGGCUGCAGACAAAAACAUUCGCAACAAAAAAUUCAGGAAUUUGCCUCUGGUAUGCAAAAUAAUGGGAUACCAUUAAUCAUAAACCAAUAUAAUGGUAAGGUACUUCAGGAUAAAAAAUUCAAAAGAUCGAUUUUUUACCUAGAGGGGCUGAUAAUUCACUACCAUGAGUCCAACAAUUAAAGACUUUGCCUUGAACACUGAAAAGGUAUUUCGAUUAAGCUGGAUCAACCCAAAUCAAGAACAUAUAAGGGAUUCAAGAAAACAAAAUUAAAAUUAUCUGAUUAGUCACACAUAAUUAACAUAAAAAACAAAUAGAAAGUUCUAAACUUGCAACUAAUCAACCAAAAUGAACACAAAGAAUAGUGAAUCAACAAUUUAUAGAUAAAGAUGCGAUUUUUACCAUAAAAGAGGCCUCCAACCAAAACUGUCUGGAACAAUGAAUCAAAACUAUAAAGGAUUUUCCCAGAAUUUGAUGAGAUCUGAUUAAAAAUCAAAACUUUAAAUUGCUGAAAGAGGAUAAUCAAACAAUUGGGAAAAAGGGGAUCUGGGAGUGUGUUAUAAGCAUAAAGAUUUGAUUUUGAUGUUAAAGAAGUGGAGAAAUCAAGGAUAUGCGUACGAGAAAGCCUUCACUUGGGGUAAAUGUAGAGACUUUCUUGUGUUGGGUGGGGAAGUGGAAGAGAGAUGAAUGGACGGACACACAGACGGCUGCAGCAACCCUAUCUUGCACCUUUCAGGCUUCAGUAUUAUCAUCGUAUUAUUGUGUCAAUAUAAUAUCAUUUUUUUCUCACCUUUUAAAUGCUAUUUUGUAUAAAAAUAAAAUUUUACAGAGGCAUUGGUAAUAACUUGUAUAUUUAAUUCUGUAAGAGGUUUUAUUUGAAAUAUUAAAAGAUACUUUUUCAAAAAUAUCUAACUUAUGAAUAAUUUUUUCCAAAAACAUUAUAUAUACAAGAAAAAACAGAUUUUUUCGCCACCUAACUUAUUGUUUUUUUAGAAAGUUACCCAUAAAUUAUAAUUUUUUUCCUUUUUGUCACUAAUGUUAGGUUUGGAUUUCUUUUGUCACUAACGUUAGGUUUUGAUUUUAUUAUUAACAUUAUAUUAUUCUUUUUAACAUUAUUAAAAUAUAGUGUUAGUCUGCAAUAUUAUGGUAAUCUGUUACACUUCUAUAUCUUUAUAUAUAAUAUUUUAAAUGUCUCCUAUGUAGUUUACCAUAGAGAAUGAGAGUGUCACACGCAUUAUAAAACUCCUAAAAGAUUUAAUUUUAUAUAUAUAUUAAUUUUUUCCUAAAUAAAAAUUUUGAUUAUCUAUUGUCUAUAUUAUAUAUUGUUUUAUAAAAAUCAAGGUUAGAUUUCAUCUGCAAUUAUUUAUACUAUUGUAAAUGAUAAACUAUUUGAAGUCAUUGAUUUCAAAAUUAGGAUUUAAUGAAUUUUUAGAGUUUUAAUUAUAAUUACUCCCGACCGCUCAUUUAUGUUAUUAUUAUUCCCUCCGUCUAUCUCAUUUAUUUAUAUUUCUUUCCACUGUUUGACACGUAUUUUAAAGUUCACACUUCUUACAAAACAUAUUUCUAUAACUUAAAGAUUUUUUUGUGUAUAAAAAUUUAAACAUUAACUUUUUAUUCAGAAAAAAAAAUUAAAAUAAUUUAUGGAACUAAAUCCUUUAGGAGCCUUAAAAUGCGUGUCAAACUCUCAUCCUCCAAGAUAAACUACCCGGGGCACAUAUAUAGUACUACAUAAAAAGAUACAAACACGUAUCAGAUCAUCAUAAUAUUGUAGACUCCCACUAUAUUUUUUAAUAAUGCUAAAAAGAAUAAUAUUGUAUUAAUAAUCAAAUCUGAAUCUAAAGUCAGUGACAAAAAAAAAAAAUCCAAACCUGACAUUAGUGACAAAAAGGAAAAAAGGUUAUAGUUUAGUGGUAAGUUUCUAAAUAUACAAUAAGUUGGUUGUCGAAAAAUUUAUUUUUUUCUAUAUACAAUUUUUUUUUUGACGUAGGAACCCGCAGCCGCUACCCUUCGGAUGCGCACUGGGUAAACCCACGAGCUCACGUAUUCUAUAUACAAUUUUAACCGUAUUUUUCAAAAUCAAUUUAAAAAGGUAGAUAUGUUUGUAAAUUCUUUUAUAAUAAAAUACAAACAUAAAACCAUUGUGAAGUAGGAGUAACAAAAAUAUAGAAUUUUAAAUGUUUUUUAAAUAACUUAAUUUCUAAUAUCAUUAUAUUCAUUUUAUAUGGGAAAUUAUGGGAUAAUAUACCCAAGUUUGUUCAAAAAUGUUGAUAGAUUUAUUUUUUUGAUAAAAAAGAAUCAAUUCAUUAAUUAAAAGCCAUACAACAUCUAUAAAUACAAUCGAAAUUGGAUAGACGCCGAAAAGUAUCGCUGUUGAAUCCUUCCCUCUUAGAGAGGCAACUAAGCGAUUUGAAGAUGAUUUGAAUAUAUACAUUUGUUUUCAUCUGAUUGGAUUUCACCUGACGGUUCAGAACAAUCGACCAUAGAUGCGAUCUCAUAAUAACCUUCAAACCUGAAUCAAAUCCAUGAAAAUCAUGUCGAUCUAUAACAUCGGUCAUGGAGAACAUUAAAACACACUAAAGACAAAACAAACUAACUCUCGCAAGAAAAAGAGACUAACAAAACUCAAAUAAAUUGAGAACUUAUUGAAUGGAAAAUAAGAUUUCAAAACAAUAAAAAAGAAAAAAAGAAUUAGGACUUUCCACCGGAGAAAACCGAUGGAAGCCCCCUCAAAAAUCUUUAAUGGACGCUAACGUGUUGGGGGGUGCUUAGGAGUAGGGUUAAAAAUGGAGCGGGUUCGGGGCGUGGACUUCAUUUCUCAGCCCCACCCCGUAUAUAUUUUUUCUGCCCUGUCCCCGUCCAAGUCCCUGCGGAUAUAUAUUUUUUCCGCCCUGUCCCCGUCCAUAUAGAUUUGAAAUUUGACUUGCAUGACUUUAUAAGAAAACUCCAGUAAGAAGUAAUACCCCUUAAAAUGAGAUUUAUUCCUAAUUAACAAAAUAAAUUUUUUAAAUGAUUUUUUCAACGAUCCAACCGUACAGAUGUUAAGAUAUAUUUAUUUUUGUCAUGUAAAAAAUAAUUUAAAAAAUUGAAAUUUACCUUGUAUGACUUUAUAAGAAAAAUAUUGUAAGAAGUACUACUCCUUGAAUUAAGAUUCAUUCCUUAUUAACAAAAUAAAUUAUUAAAAUGAUUUUUACAAAGAUCCAACCAUAUGGGUGUUAAGAUAUAUUAAUUUUAGUCAUGUGAAAAAAUAAUUAAAAGAUUUGAAAUUUUACUUGCAUGACUUUAUAAGAAAAAUUCAGUAAGAACUCUUACUUCUUAAAAUGAGAUUGAUUACUGAUUAACAAAAUAAAUUAUUAAAAUGAUUUUUUCAACGAUCCAACCGUACAGAUAUUAAGAUAUAUUGAUUUUAGUCAUAUAAAAAAAUAAUUAAAAGAUUUGAAAUUUAACUUGCAUGACUUUUAUAAGAAAAAUCUAGUAAGAAACGUACUACUCCUUAAAAUCUUUAGAUUCUGCAAAGGAGUACAUUUUUGUUUGGUCUAUUGAGGAACAUUUGCGUUUCGUCAAGUUUUCUGUGGAGGACAUAUAUUGGAAUUAGUGUUAAGUUUUUAUCUUUCUAUCUAUAUUUGUGACUCUAUUAUUAUAAUAGAAAAAAUAAUGAAAGGCCGUGCCUUUGGAGUAGCCAUCUGCAAUAGAGUCGGUUCCACCCCAUUUCUAUUAUAAUUGCUUCAUGAAAGCAUUAGCUAACCCCACUAUACAAAUUGCUCCCAAACACUGUGCCACCAUGUAGCCCAAAGCUCGCAUCAGUGUUAUUUUUCUUGCCAAAAAUCACUGCUGGAUUAAUAUGACACCCUACAAAAUUAGUUGCAGGAUUUUUGCAUUUGCAGGACCGACUGCUUGAUGAAAUUAGAGCAGGUCAGGAUGGGAGGUGGUUGUGAAUUUGUUUGUCUGAUUCUGGAGCCAUUGCAUUUAUUUAGGGAUUUAGGGAUUUAGAGGUAGAUAUGGUGUAAAGAGAUAACGGUGAUUUAAGUUAAUUUAAGUCAAUAUAACUAUUGAAAGAAAAAUGCUAGGGACCCCAAAUAUUUAUCCCAAAUUUUUUUCCCAAAUGAUGUGGUGAAAUUUCAUUGAUUGCAUUCAUUCCCAUAAUAAUGAGGCCCCCCCUGCAGAUUCAUCAACCACCCAAUCAAAUUUCGGCACUUAUUAUCCACGUCAUUUGGCAACAAAUUUUGGGGAAAAAAUUUGGAGUCUCUAGCAUUGCCCCUAUUGAAAUGGAGAAUUGACGGCAAUGUCCUUAUAAAUAUUAACUGUGUUAGUAAAAAUUGACGGAGAGACACAUUUUGUAAAAAAAUCAAAUUUCAGUAUUGCAAAUGAUAUGUAUUAAAAAUUGAUAUUAUAAGUGGUGUCACGCACAAAGUGCGAGUACACAUAAUGUACUUUACUCGUAAUUUUUUUUAUAAUUAUGUGUCUAAUAGAUCUCUUGAAUAUAAAAUCGUCGUAAAAAUUUGAAGCCAAACAGCAGGCUUUUAGGUAUAAAUUUGGACAAUAACUCUCUUGGAUAUGUGUAUUUAGAUUCUUAUACAUGUCAGAAGUUAAUAAAAUUAUUAGAAGUAAAUAUUUAAUUAUUUAUUAUACUCCAUUUAUCUCGGAACGAUAAUUUUGUUUUAAUUUGAUUUAUUAAAAUUUACUAAAUUUUGAGCAAUAAUUACUCAUAUUAUAUAAUUAAAAAAGUUAUAAAUUAUAUAGUUAGAAAAUAUAUUUAAUCUUUUUUAAAAUAGAUUUUCAAUUUUUAAAAAUUAUAAAUUUAUUUUUUAUUAUAAUACAAAAUUGGAUAAUUUAAUUAUUGAAAACAAUGAAAAUUAAAAAGGGUAGUACCACAUGAAAGGAUAAUACAAAAUGAAAAUUUAAUUAGGGGUUUUAAUACACAGUAAACAUGAGGAUGCUCAAGAGAGUUGGAAGAUUAGUGAUGCGAGAGCGAGAGCAUAUAAAUUAUAUACUACACAGGUGUAUAUCAUCACCAGCAAUAUAUGAUGUCGCCAACAGAUCUAUCCCUCUGCUGCAGGACACCCAACUUGACGGUUUUACAGGUUACCAAAUUUCUGUUAACUCUUCAAUUAUAUUGUAUGUAUAUGCAUCGUAUUCGGUUAUCAGGGCUUUUCCUUCCAACUGCAUAAUAUGAUCCACUUUGAUUCUUGAAAUUUGAUUCCUUCCAACUCUAGUAUUUUGGGCAUUACUUGUGAAAAUUGUGGUAUAUGGGGCCUUUUCCUUUAUUUCCCGGCGUUAAUCUAAUCUAGUAUAAUAUUGCGUGAAUGCUUAAUUAAUAACACGAAUGUAUUAUUUGUUGUACUUGAACUAGGCACAACAAAUUUGGUUCUUUAGAGCAAGUCCAAGAAGAAUCCUUAUCCACAAGCUCUAUUAUUAAAAUACUAAUAUAUUAGAAUUGCAAGAGCAAAUGAAGUGUGGAAAGAGAGGGUAUUAUAUUCAAUUUUUAAAACUAAAAUGAGGCUUGUGUAAUUAAGGCAGAUGAAAGAUGUCCUAGCAAUUUAAGGCAUUUUUAGGACACCGGUGGAGCUUUUAUUUUUGUCAAUAACCCUGAAUUUUGAUUUAGGACACCAAAUAAGACAUUUGUUGGACUUGCUCUUAUGUUACAGUAAUCUAUAUGACAACUACUUCACUAUUAUACAAUAGCUUUAUGACCAUGUUUGUUUGAAAUGAUUAUAAUCCUAGGAUAACUACAUUGUUUUCUUUAAAUUUAAAGGAUUAUCAUCUCAUGGGAUUUUAUUGCCAUCACUUUUUUUAUUCAAUCCCAAUCCCAUGGAAAUGAACUAAAACAAUUGAUUAGGAUAUGAAUUCAUGAGAUUAUUAUUCUUGACAAUUGAGAUAAACAAGGUAAUAAUUGGGGGAUUAUAAUCCCUUCAAACAAACAUGACCUAUCUAUGUCGAGUACAAUGAAUAGCUUUUAACCUAAUUAAUGAUUAACAUACGACGUAUUUGUUUUACUGAAGUUAUAUAGAAUAAAUUGUUUACUUAUAUAUAUAAUGGGAUUGCUAGACCUGAGGUAUGAGGGCAUUGGCGGAGCCAGGAUCAAAUGUAUAGAGGGACACCAUAACCCUAAUCACAUAGUUCAGCUGGGGGCACCUGUUAAUAAUACAUGUGAGACCCACAAAAAUAUAGUUGUUUUUUUGAAAGUUGGAGGGGCACGAGCCCCCUGGUGCCCUAAUGUGGCACCGCCACUGUAUGAGGGUGACAAGGUUAAACAAAUGCUAGUAUAAACUAGGGGGUAAUUGUCAAGGUAUCGCCGUGGUGAAAAAUGUAGAAUUAUAGAUGUAUUAAUAUAUGUGGGGUAGCACUUUAUAGCAUACUCUCUUAUAGAGAGUUUCGUGGUAUACCACUAUAAGUAUAUUCAUACUACAUAUAUUUAUUAUAUUUUUCAUUGAAUAUAAAUACAAAUUUUAAUCAUUGAAUUUAAAAAAAUACAAUUUUUUAUUCCAAAAAUCAUUGAAAAUAGUGCAAAAUUCCAACAUGAUUUUACAACAGAAUAAUAGUUAUCCAGAAUUAUUCUGCUAUAGAACUGGUUUCGGAAAUCAACUUUUUUUUUUCAAACUUUAGGUGUUAAAUUAUUUAUAAUAUAUAUAUGCUUGAAUAUUCUAUAUUAGAAUCACAUUUUAACCGUAAAAUUUAUAAUAAUAUUAAUGGUUUAUAAUGGUGCACUACGGAAUUACAUAUAAGAAGGACCUUCAUGGAAUGUUGGCCAAUAUAUGUGUAUUAAUUUGCAGAAGUAUUGUUUUCUUUCUCUUGUAUAAAACUAACUUAUAUCCCGUGGGAUGCACGAGUGACUUGUAAUAUGAUUUUUUUAAUUGUGCAUGUUCUAAUAUUAAUUUGUUUGUGAAAAUACAUUUAUUUUACAUGCUAAAUAAGUUUUUAAUAAUUAAGCCCGUGAAAAAAAAUUACAAAUAAAAAGACCCAAGAAAUAUAUUUUACCGAGAUGGAAAUAUGUCUUAGCUGUGAAGCAGGCAUACGGCAAACUACUGAAGAAUCGCAGGGGGUGCGCGCACCGUGCGGGAGCGCAGCGGUGCGACAGGGGGUGCGCCAGGUGGCAUGGCGACGAAUAUCCUUGGCCGAUACGCGGCGGUGCAGGAAAUGCGGUGCGGGAGGGGCAACAUCGGUAAUUUCACAGCAUAUUAAACAACCGUAAUUGAAGCCCCCAAUCUAGUCUCCUUCUUUCCGGCGAGCGGUGGAUGUUUCUUCUUCGCAUAAGGCUCGAUCUGCUCCAACUGCAAUGCCUCUAUAUAUCUGUGUGUAUUGUAUAUCUCUGUUGGUGCAGUGGUUGUUUGUUGUAUUGGGCUUGGGCCUAGCUAUCUACGUGGAUUAUGAACAAAUAACUGCUAAUCUAAUCUGGUUGUUGUCUCCUUUUAAUUUCUUUAUUUUUUAUUUGCUGACUUUUUAAUAAUUUUGUUAAUUUAGUUUUACUAAUUAUUAUAUACAUAAAUUAUAUUUUUUUAAUAUUAUAUAUAUAUAAAAUAUAUUUUUAAUAUUUUAUUUUUGCCGUAUACCGCCGCACCCGUAUCCUCAUUUUUUGAAAUUUACCGAAUUCGCGUAUCCCCGCACCGCGCAUCCCCGCACCCGCACCCAUGCUUCCCAGUGUCUUAGUAAAAUUCAAAAAGGACCCGUCAAAACAUGUUAUAAAAUUAAAAGACCAAUAAACUGACCCAAAUACAGACCAACCAAAACUUAUGCUGUCGUCUUAAAUAGUAUAUAGAUUCUAAUUAAAAGACUCCGAAAUGGUUCACUGAAAAGUUAAAAAUAAAUUAAAAUAUAUUACCGGAUGAUUACAUUUUAUUUCUUGUAAUAUCCUUUUACGUAUGUUGAAACUCAUCAAAUAUUGGAACUUGAUUUGACAGAGGACCAUAGAAGUAAAUGCUACGAAUUGGAGAGGAAAACAAAAGAAGAAUCUGAUUUUGAUAUAGCGGUAAGGAAUUUUACCAAUCUCUCAAUAGAGAUGAAGAAACAGAAGAUUAAUCAGAAGGAGCUUACAAGUGUCAGUAGUGGAGAUAUUGUUAAUCUACACGAGCUUUUGUUUACCAAAAACAGGGACUAUCUAAUCAAAUUCAAUGGGGACCAGGUACGUGUGCAUGAUUUUAUAUUCAUACAUACAUAUAUAUAUACAUACAUAUAUAUACAUAUAUAUAUAUAUAUAUAGGCAAUUGAUCAAAUACAAACCAACUCUUAAAUACAAACUAAAAACCAGAUUUCUUACCACUAUUUAUAACUACGAGUAUCACUAAUUUAUAUUGCACUAAUCACUGUUUUUGUACAAUAUAUAAACAACGAUUUUUAUCAUCAAAAUUGAGAAAAUCUACUUACAUAAACUAUUGGUAAUCGAUUAUAUAUGAUCAAUUUGAGUCGUAGGAAGGUUCUUAGUGGUAAGAAGCCGUAGAGAAGUUGUAUGAUGGUGUUAAGUAGUUGUUAGUUUUGGUAAGUUAUGAUGGAAAGUGUAUGUGACUAUUGGUGAUGGUAGACAAUGGUGGCAUGUCAUGAAAACGUCUGGUAAUGGUGGUGGUAAGAGGUCCAUUAUAACGGUUCAGGUGAAGAUGAUGGUCAUAUACGUUGCAUAUAUGUGAUGUGUGUGUGUGUAUUUAUAUUCGCGAGAUAUGCUAUAUAUAAAUUAGUGAUAUGUUAUGUACAAAUUAGUGAUUUCUGUAGUAAAAAAUAGUGAUAAAAAACUGACCAGAACUGGUUUUUAGUUUUUAGGCUAAUUUGGUUUGUAUUGGAGUAGGACUCUAUAUAUAUAUAUAUAUAUAAAUCUAGAAGGCCAAGCCAUGUAUAUAUAUAUAUAUAUAUAUAUAUAUAUAUAUAUAUAUAUAUAUAUGGAAGGCCAAGCCAUAAGAAUAUAUGUUGGUACUUCUACAUUGUCUUAUAUUAAUGUUAAUGCCAUGGUUUGGGGGAAUUUCGGAGCAGGGAGACUUUAAUUUUUGUUUCUGCCCCGGUCCCCAAAAUUUUCUUAUAAAAAUUUCUUGUUCCCAAAGCCGAACAAGCUCUGUCCUGAAUGGAGUGGGGAUCGGAUAUGGGUUAUGCAAAUCAUAAAACAUUAAUGAUGGUAUUUAAGAAAUUACGACACGCUAGAAUAAAGUAGACCGCAUAACAGCUAUUGAGGGUCACUUAUUGGCUAUAGGGCUGUAAAUCGAUACGGACUAUCCGGUGUCUCCGCUCAUAUCCGGCUCGAAAAUAUGAUACAUGUCUCAUAUCCGUUUUGAAAACGAUCCGAAUCUGGCGAAAAAAUUAAGUCCGUAUAAUAUAUGAUCCCGAAUACGAGCACACCUAUACCCGCUCAGAUUCGGUCUCAUAUAAUUUUUCAUAAUAUGAUCCUACCCGAAUAACCGAAUAUGAUCCACGGUUCAUAUUCGAUUCAAACUCAUAUAAAUAUUAUAUUUUAACACCAUCAUAUUUGCAAAUAAAUAGUCAUCAUUUUAUAUAAUUUUAAUAUCUUAUUUAAGUUUAUAUCUUCAUAAAAUAUGAUUUAUUUAAUGUGAUCAUGCUUAUAUCUUCGUAUAUAUUUAAUAAAUGAUAUAUAUACAAACAUAUAACUAUAAGUUUUAAUUUAAAAUUAUUAUACUUUAUAAUAUUAUGUUUACUUAGACUAAAUGAUAAUUAUUUGAACAACUGAAAUAAUAAUGAUAUUUAGUGUUACUGGAUCAUAUCCGGCUCAUAUUCGAUGGAUCAUAAACUACCCCGUUAAAAAAUAGAAAAUACGAUACUGGAUCAUAUCCGGUUCUGAUCCGAAUCUCAAAUACCGGGAUCGGUUUAUAUCCGAAUAUAACGAUCCCGGACCCAAAUCUGGACAAGAUAAAAAUAAUAUGCCGGGAUCACCCGGAUCAUUUUACAGCCCUAAUUGGCUAAAGAGAUGACCAGAACUAGACACAAAAUGAAACAAAUGUCAUUGAUAGCCCAAGUUAAACGAGAAUCAAUAAAUGAUCAUCUAGAACACAAACUGUGAGCUCAGCCGGCGCCAAAAACUCUCACUGCCUGCAUUAAAUUGAGCAGUCCUCUAAUCAAGGUUAAGUAGUUCAUUAACGACUUAAGAUGACAAAGUUGUUCAUCUUAAUGGAGGUAAACAUCUUUUUUCUAGGAAAAAAGAUGUUUGAUAUCUCCAUUAAGAUGACAAAGUUGUUCUUUUGGACUCGGAUGUGAUAUUCUGCAUUGCUAGUUUUGGCUUUAAAGAUUCUGUCAUCUUUUCUGGUUAUCAUCGUGGAGUAGUAGUAGUAGUAGUACCAUCAUGCUUAGAAUCUGCGGUUUUAGUGGCAAAGAGUAACUUAGUUUUAGUGAUGAAUCAGGGAAUCGAAGCAAGUGAUCAUGUAUCCAAAUAAAGAGAGGCAAGAAUUUGGUAGCUGUAUUUAGCUUUGGCUUGCCUUUAAAGCUCCACUUACUUUGAUAAAGAUAUGCCAUUGUUCCUGAAUAUUUUUCUUCAUCUUCUUCUUUAAGCUAGGGUAAUGUGUUCCCCUGGUAUUACUGUAGAUGGUUAUUUAUCCAAACAUCAAAAGUUAUUCGCCUAGUAAUGCAUUGGUAUCCUGUUCUUUCUUUGAUAUUUCAUCUGAAAUCACAAACAGUAGAUUACAAGAUUGUGGACCCAUAGAUAAAGAGGCUGAUGAUAAAAACAUGACUGUGAAGCUUUGCAUGAUUAAUAUAUUUACAAAUUAUCAUUCUUUUUAUGGGUAGAAUUAGGUCUACUGGAAAACAUCGGAAAGUGACUCCAGACUAGAAAAUACAAGUGAAAAUGUUUGGUAUGAUAGUAUUCACACUGUGUGCUCGAGGGAGAGACUCUUUCCAACAUAAUCUGGGAAUAAUUGGGGUGCAGAAGUGAUGAUUGUGGAGAAGAAAGGAUGAAACAUGGGCGGCUGUAACCCAUCUCUCCAAAAGAGAAUGGUUUGGGAUGUAACAAAAUGCAGGAGGGGCAGCUUGUAGUGAGUGUAAAAAAAAAAGCCUAAAUUGAAUUCAUUGGCAGAGGCUGGCAUGAUGUGUAAUGAUGAAACAGGUUUGUACAGAGUUAAGUAGCACAAGAAUACAAGUUGUGGACUUACCAGGAGACCUAAGUCUAUAAGAUAAUGAUAUACUUGACGAGGUAGAGGAAAAUGAGAGAAUUGCAUGGUGACAUGCAACAACUUAAUGGAGGUAAACAUCUUUUUUCUAAACAACUUGUAGAGAAAGCUAGGGUUUUGGAGAGAGAAAGCUAGGGUUUUAGAGAGAGAAUGCAGUUAUAGACAAACAAGAGAGAGAAGCAGUUGGUGGAAUUAGAUUCCAUUUUCUGUAUUUAAAUUCAACAUCCUCGAAAAAUACAACUCAUACUUCUAUCUAUAGAUUUGAUAUCCUUAAGUAAUGUGAAAGUGCUAAACAGCCCUUCCCUUGUACUAUACUAACACUAACAGUCUUCUAAGGAGAGUGCUAAUGUAAAGCAGUUGUUGGUGCAAUCCUAACAGACUACUACUACUCUCGCAUUGAAGUGAAGAAAGCUUAACGAAAAAUGAAAUCGAUGCCGAGCAUAGUUAAAAUGAACACCUGGUUUAUUUCUCAUCGAUCAUGUACCAGAGUUUUCCCAAGUUCAAUUUUGACCAAUUUAGUUAUUUGAGAGGUUUUGUGAUAUUUCUUAACUGCUUAGUGUGAGGGGCAAAUCAAUUCUUGUGCAAGGAGAGGGAUGCGGUCAUUCUGUGGACUUGUAUUCAAAUAUCAAAUUGUUAGUUAGUUUUAUGCAAUAAGCACUGUACCAAAUAGGACCAAUUAUAAGCUACUUGCACAAACAAGCCGAAAUCUAAUAUCUCGUCUUUUAUUUUGCAUGGCGAUAAUAUGAAAUCUAGAACAGUUUGGAUGACAACUCAAGCGCCAUUGUGAAAUAUCCACAAAGCCUAUUGAUAAAUUAUAUUUUUUUUAUAUAUAUAUAUAUCCUACAUCACUUUAGCUCCAAAAUAUACUUCUUUAAAAUGCAUGACUUGUGUUGUGUCUGACUGGCUUUUGAAAUUGUACCUGGAAGCUAGAAUGAGGUUCACCUAUGUAACAGCUAUAAACAUGUGUUUUCAGCUUAUCAACUUAUAACAAGUAUAUACUCUGUAGGUGAAGGCUGAGCAGUUUGCUGACAAGGUUAUCGUUAUAUAUUUUGUGUUACUGCCACUUGUUGAUAAUAAUUCUGCUGAGCGGGUGGGGCUGAUCACAGAAAGAUUAAAGGAUGUAUACAACUUUCUACCACCUAACAAAGGUUUCGAGAUCGUUUUUGUGGCUGUUGAUGAUGAUGACACUAGCUUUGAAGAAGAAAUGUUAUUUGAUCCUUUACCUAAAACAGACCUUGAGAAUGAUUUUGAAGAGGUAUUUUCUUGCAUGCCCUGGACUGCCAUUCCAUUGUCUGAUAGAACAUCCAGGGAACUUCUGCAGAAAAGAUUUGGUUUUAGGGAUAACAACGGUAGCCUGUUUGUAAUUGAUUCAAAAGGGGUCGUUUUGCAAACAAUUGUCAUUUAUGAUUUUAUUCGAUAUGGAAGUCUAGGAUAUCCUUUCAGCAGUGAGAGGCUCGAAUCCCUGGAAUCUGAAUGCAAAGCAAUCGCUGCAGAACCCACAGUAGAAAAACUUCUGUCUUCCCCUGAACGAGACUAUGUCAUUGCGAAUAACGGGGACAAGGUAUACCAUGCACACUUUAUAACAUUUGGUGAUAAGGGCAUAUCCACGAGUACCUUGUUGUAGUCAAUUAAUUUCUUUUUCAUUUGUACAUCCAGUUGAGUUUGGAUAAUAAUAUUUUCCUUUACACUUCCUACUGUUACAUGUAUUGUUAGGUGCCUAUUCAUACACUUGAAGAUAAGGUGGUAGCUCUAUACUUCCACGCAGGCAACGUAACUGAAACUGAUAUGCUUACAGAAGAACUUAGGAAUGUAUAUGAAAAGUUGGCUGAAAAAGAAGUUAAAUUUGAGGUUGUGCUUCUUUACCUUUGUGACACACCCAUUACUAUUGGAUUUAGAAAUGAAGAUUCAUUCUGGAGAACUUUUGGGACUAUGCCUUGGUUAGCUCUCCCUUAUAAAGACCCUAUCCUGAAGAAGUUGAAAAUAAUUUACGAGUAUCCUGAGGAUUAUAAUUAUGGUGAUGAUGAGGAGAUCUCCAAGCUUGUAAUUGUCGGUCCUCAUGGAGAAUUUUGUGAACCAUGUGGAGCCGACAUUUUGUUGAACUACAGAGUUCCAGGAUACCCCUUCACGCGUGAAAAAGCUCUCGAGUUAGAGACCGAAAGAAUAAAGAAAUUGAAGUUAGAGAUGAUUUUGGAGACGAACAAGGUCUUGACCAGAAAUGACGGAUCCAAGGUAUGUUCUUUUGACGUCUUGAUGCAUUAUUCAAAGAGUUUGGUAUAAAUUUUAUCUUCUCUUAUUCCAGUUCCUAAAGCCACUUCCAUGGCGCCUAUUAAAGAACAUUGAAACUGGUUAAUAAAUCAUAAUUAUUUCUUCUUUAACGGCACCUGUUACAGUUAUAAUGGUGCAUUGUUGCCCAAUUUUUCAGUACAUGUCAACUUAUCAAUUCCACUUUAAUAGGUUUCGCUCUCUCAACUUGCUGGCUAGAGGAUUAUGCUUUUAUUUGGUCUAUUUGAAGAUGAGUUCCUAAACAUGUUAAAAGAAAGGUAUCUCUCUAUGAAGAGUACAGAUGGUGAAUUUGAAGUAAUCCACAUCUAUGUAUCUGACACUGAUGAUGUUGUAGACCCGCCGGCCUGGUUUGUGUAUCAUCUGCCAAAAGGCUUCCGCUAUGCUUCUGAUAUUAUACCUGCUGACUUUGAUAAACGAUACUUUAGACAAGAAGAGAUUUACGAUGUUGGAGAUACGAGAAGACUUCUUGCUUUUGAUCGAGAUGGAAUGAUCGUCAGAGACUCGGCUUUUCCGACGAUUGAAGAUAUGAAUUUCCCCUUCUACACCAGGGGGUUGGAAAAGGAAGCCUUACUAGAAUUAGAUUCUGUGUUCCAUUGGUAUGAAUGGGAAGACGCUGAGAGUUGGAACCGUGAGGCAGGGUAUAUUGGACCAAACCAGUCUUGCGGACGAUCGGUUGGAUCCAUUUCCGCCUUGGGCGUCAUUAGUUUUGAGUCAUGAUGGGUUGAAGCAUGCUGAUAGUUAUUAGAAUAUAAUAAAUUGAAGUGUUCUAUUAUUUUAUGUAUUAUUAGUUAUUUGAAGGAUGGAUUGGAUGCUGAAAAAGUAAAAGUUUCUCACUAGACAUCAUUUUAUGCAUCAAACUUUCAAUGUCAAGUAAAAGUUUCUCACUUUGCAUCAUUUUAUGCAUCAAACUUUCAAUGUCAGAACUAAUAAGCUAAGGAUAGUGUCAGAUCAAUUAUAAAAUGAUGAGCAUUUGUGUAAUAUUUGCUGUAUGAAUUCUACACCCUGUGGUCAUUUACUGAACUUAAAAUAAAUCUAUCUAUUAUAUGAGAACAUGUUUUUCUGUACUGAGCAAAUUUAUUCAGGUAAGGAAAUCCCGGCCUAUUUACCAACCUAUCCUGUCCAACUGAUGCAUGCUCCUUCUUAGACCCAGUCUUCCAACGAACUGAUCCCUCCCACCAGGGGCUCCAUUCUUCUUCUACGAUCUGGCUAGAUGAGGUCGAUUCUAGUGAUUGGUUCAGGUAAGCUCGUUAUGAUGCUGGCAUCCUGCACUCCAGUAAAUUAUUAGAAGGUGAGGAAGCUUUCAAUCUCAUGUCUGUUUGUCCUCUCCCCACAGGAGCCUGAUGAAGGUUUGGGAUUUCUGAGCAAAAAGAAAUUGACAUUUUUUAUUAUGAUUUACAAACUUGAAUUGAAUUCAUAGUUUGGUAAAAUUAUUAAUGUUAUUUUUUCUUUUCACUAAUUCAAUAUAUAUGUUUCCAAGCCUGAAACUCGGGGUUGCGUAUGUUCUUUGGGUAUGUACUUACAGAAAUUCAGAUAAAGAAACCAAAGCAUGAAUAAUUAAUAGAGAUUGUUGCUAAGUUGUACAUUUUUGUUUGGUCUGUUGAGGAACAUUUGCGUUUGUCAAGUUUUCUGUGGAGGACAUAUAUUUCAAAUAGCACUUGUAGUGUGUAAGUGUUUGUUAUACUGAUUGAAAUGACUUUUAAGAUUGCAAGUAUAAUUAGGCCAACAUACAGCAAUAUUUUUUUUUUAUAAUUGUGUGUCUAAUAGAUCUCCUGAAUAUUAAACCGUAUACCUUAUUCUCGUAAAAAUUUGAAGCCAAACAGCAGGCUUUUAGGUAUAAAUUUGGGCAAUGACUUGGAUAUGUGUAUUUAGAUUCUUAUACAUGUCUGAAGUUAAUAAAGUUAUUAGAAGUUAUAUAUGAGAUAUAUAUUAACUGUUAGAUUAUCAACCUUUGUUUUUACAGAUAUAUAACUUAUUCAAAGGAGGAAGAAGCAGUUCGUUGCAUUCAGUCAGUGUAUGGUUACACAUUGGAGGGUAGACCAUUAAGGUCUGAUUCUAUUGGCUUUAGUGGAGUGCAGCAGUAAUGGUAUCUGUUUGCUUAUUUACUAUUCUUGUGUUGCAGAGCCUGUUUUGGAACCACAAAAUAUUCCCAUGCAUGUCUGAGGAGUGUGGUAUGGUCCUUAAUUUAAUUAAUUGUGAGUAAUUCGACUAUGGGGGCAUAAUGUAAUGGAAGGGUAUAUAUUCGCGGACUAAUAUAUUUCUGAAUUAAAUUCUGACUGUAAUGCUAUUUUGUUAGAUGGAAAAGAACUUGAUGGUUCAAUUACCACACCACUAAAUUCAAUUCCACUACACGUUUACAAUGGUGUAAUAAAUGUUUGUAAGCAUAGAGCACACGAUAGUUUAUGGAGUAUCUUGUGGUAGGUACGAGUGCUACAUAAUUUAAUUGGAUUUGUCAGAGUCGAAUAUUCAAGCUAUACUUUGUCCACUUAUGUUGUUUAACCAAUUAUUAUUUGUCGAAGUUGGGUCUUCGGUAUAUGUAGAUUCCUCAUUUUUCUGACUUUGCUAAUUACGGAAGAACUUUACAACUUUUACUCUAUUUGUAUACCUUGCACAGUGAUUUCUUUUAAUUUUUUUAGCUUUUACAUGAAUAUGCCUCAGGUGUAUGUAUGUUAGACAGUUAAGAUUGGUGAAAUCCUUGCGCUAUUUAUGGAACUUCAGACCUUGGGUGACAGGAAUUUGCAGUUUGCUUUCUUAUUUCAGUUUACGAGAGUGUAUUAUCUUUUUUUUGAUUGAUUUUAGGCAAAUAAUACGGGGACGAUGUCAAGCAAAAUGAAAAAGAAAGCAAAAUUGCAGCGUGUCAUUCGUAGCAUGAAAAAACAGCAGCUCCAGUCUUCAGAAAAGACUACAAGCUCCAGGUCAUAUUCACCUCUUAACCAUUUAAAUGAUGCUCAGGUAAUAAUAAUCAUCUGAGGUUUUGGUGAUCACUGAUACUCUGCAGUUUUAGGAGAGCAAGAUAACUCAUCAUACUUAUAUUUUGUUGUCAGGGAUUUGUUGAAAAGCUGUAUUCUCGUCUCCAAACUGCAGACAAAUUUGAGGUAUUCAGACUGAUGUGUAAUGUUUAGCUUUUUCUUUCUAAUUUAUUCAAGAUCCAAUCUGCACCCUUUUAACACCAUUUUAUGUGUCACAGAAGUUAUUAUCUAAAUUGCUUUAUAACCUUUAUUUUUUCUAUUAUCUGUGCUUGUUUCAUUUCCACAAUCUCUAUCAGUUAUGCUGUUUAGUGUCUUCUUAGUAUACAUCUGAUAAUGUGAAACUUUAGCACAGCGAACUGUAUUGUUUGAAAUCUGUACCUUUUAUGUAUGUAUUGUAUUGAAUAAAAAUCAUCAUUACGCGAUCAUGAGCAACAGAAAGCAGCUAUUGAUAACACAAAAUAUUAAAAUUCGUUUUAGUUCUAUCUGAACCCAGAUAAUCUAUGAUGACCAAUAAUACAUGGUAAUGACUUAAAUGUUUAUGGUUUAAUUCUUAAAAGUUUAUAAUUUUAACAGUUCAGUCUUCCCAAGACAACUUUACUGCCCUGAAGCAGGUUUUGGAAAAUUAGAGAGAAGUGUUACAAAGUUGACAGAAAUAUUCCUUGUGCACUGUAAGAUAAAAGGAAAACCGGAUUCUGCAGAAACUGUUGUGUUGGUCGAUGGCUAUUUGACAAAGCGAGCCUGUUGCUGGUUUUCACGCUUAGAUAUGCAGGUCGGUGAUUAUGUAAUAUAAAGGAGAAAAUGCAAUUAACUUUACUUAUGAUUUAAAAGGACAUCCUUCUUGUCAUUUCAGUUGUUGUGGGAUAUUGUCCAUUUGGAGAACAGGAACAGGCAUUGCAAUAUUUUACUGAACUACCUCGGUUUCAUCACACAUGUGUGACUUUUUGAAAGGUUUAUUUGUUUUUAUAUAUAACCAGUCUUGUUUUGAUCUGAAUUUUACUGCUAAUAUAUUUUUCCCUGGUGAUUCUCAGGGUAAAUGUUGUGUUUCGUCCAGUUUCAACCGUUUCUGUUCCUAUGAACUUCACAAUAUGAACAUAAUCAAGGUGAUAAAGAGUCAUAUUGUUACAUAACAGUUUAAUGAAUAUUUUGGUUCAAGUACUUCAUGAUAUGUUUUCUUGUUUUGUAGAAUUUACCAGGCGUGGAUGCUCUCACUGCAUUUGCAUAUUUCUUUGAUGCUGAGUCCACAAGGAAGUACGUAAGUUCAAGAAGUUUGGCAGAGGAAAGACAAGUAAGUUCACAAAAAGUUUUGUAGUCCUUCAUUUCCUGGACUUGGUUGCUUGUCUCCCCUAAAACCUGCUAGCUUAAAAGAGUAUUUGGCUGCAAUUUCCUGAAAUGCUUUACUUGAGAGUCUCUAUUUUUCUUCCAUUACUUUUAAAUGGUUGAAUAUAGAACUGUAAUAUCCGAAAUUGUGUCUUCUCAAGCAAACAGAUUACUGGCAGUUGAUAGUACUAUGCCAAAACCAGAGUAGAACUCAUGAAUUAGAAAAUUUCAUCAUAGGAUCAGCUUUGCAUAAAUUGAUGAUUUGCUUUACCAUCCUUUCCUUAUGCAACACUAAUUUAAUACUUUGAAUUUGAAUGCACGGGACGCUAAUCUACUUUUGCAGUUCAAAGUGUCCAAAUGUCAUUGUUACAACUUAAAACUGUAAAGACAUAUUGAAGAUUGAAGUACAACACCAAGAAAAUAAGUACUCAAUUAAUUUCUAUUUACAUCUCGUGUAGUAUCUGAAAGAAUAUAUAGCUUGAACCAUUAUGUGAAUUUUUCCCUUAUAUAGCUGCUGUUUGGUGCAGAUAAGCAGCUUACUUCUAGGUAGUAUGCUAGAUGUGGUAGAGGAGGUACAAUUAGCUCGGUUAGAACUUCGUAAUCUCAUUCAGUGUAUCUUCUGCUCUGAGUCAGGUAACUUCUGUCCUUCUCCACUUGAAAGUUUCUUUUCGCAGGCCAAGUUACCCGGACACGGGUAUGGGUAUCGGACACGGGUACAGAUCCAAGAGUCAGAUUCGUAGUUUUAGGAUAAUUAGGAUUCGUGGACAUGGAUCCGGAAUUAGACUCGGGUACGGGGACUUGGCACUUAAGCUCCAUGCAAGUAAAACUUUAUAUAGACUAGUCUAUUGUACAUUCAUAAAAAUAGUGUCUACUGCACAUAAAUCACAUACGCUGAAAAUUGAAGCAUAAAAUCAAUAGAACAACAUAGAAACAAGUCAUUCAUGGAUCUUGAUCUCUUCAAACAAGUUGAAACAAGACCUAAGUUUUCAUUUUGACCUGGGAUGUUACAAGGUGAGGUGUCCGGUUGUAAUAAGAAGGAUCCGACAAAGUGCGAGACUCACUUAUGGCCAAAUGCUUAGUUAAAGUUACUUUGUCCUUUGCUAGACUUUAAUGCUAAAUAUGAGAAUCUUUGUAUUGAGAUGAACUGAUGGUGCCUCAUGCCUGUGUCGCUUGAUGGAGCAUAGGAGCAUGCAUCGGUUGAAAUAUUGUAGUUAUUAAUUGUCCCUCUACUGUGCUAAUAUGGGAGGCUGAAUCUCUCGUGAAUCAAAGCAUAAUAAUCCUUCAUAUUUUUUCUAAUGUUAACCGUGUUUACAUGCAAUUGUAGUUAAUUUCCAUUUUUUGUGCAGUUGAACAGCUUGAUUUGCAGCUUUAUUUCCUUAAUCUUAAAAGUGGUAAAAGAGCAAUCUUUACUUUUGACUUGUCCUGUUUAAAAGGUACAGAGCCUUACUUUUGAAUAUUGAUUGUUUCUACUUUCCGCUAUUAUAAAUUAUUAUUUACCUUAUUCCUAUUAUCUUCCCGGGUGGUAAUAUUGGACCCGACACGAAUUCGACCCAUAAAUACGAAUUCGGGUUGGAGUUUUUCAAGUUCGGGUCGAAUUUGGGUUGACCAAACUACUAGGAUAUAUACGUACUCCCUCCAUCCCAAAUUAGAUGGCCCCGUUGACUUUGGGCACACAAUUUAAGGUUCAUUGACCGCAUAGAUACGUGAUUUAUUUUUAAAAUUUUAUUUUUGCAAAUAAAAAUUAAAAUAUGAAAUUUUUAUUUAUAAAAGAAAAAAUAAAAAAAUAAAUUUCGGAAGUAGACGGUCAAUGCAUCUAAAGUUACGUGCCCAAAGUCAACGGGGACAUCUAAUUUGGGAUGGAGGUAGUAUUUGAGAAGUCAUAAAAGUUGCAGAAAAUGAAAGUCCUGCCUAACGAUGGAAAGUCUCGAAAUUAAAACUGAAUUUUUUAUUGGAAGGAAAGAUAUGCUAGAGAAUGAAAAGAUUGGUAAUGAUGGUAAAUAUCGACUAGGAGGAAGGAACGUACCUCCUAUUUACAUAGAAAUGAUUGAAUUUGCUGUUAUAGGUGAUAGGUAGCUUUGUAUAUAAACUCUCUUUAGUCAUUGUAAUUCUAUAUACAUAUUUGAGUGAUUGCAAGUUGAAUUAGGUUAUCGUGAAGCUUUGUAUUUUGUACAUAGAGAGUUUGUGUAUUGAGUUUGUAAUUGCAAGAGUUGCUGGUGCAACUACUAAGGUUUCUGUACGCAUUUGUAAAGAAAGUUUUAACUUGUUCAUAUAUAUACAUAUAGUUGUUUUUAUCAUUGUGUUUAUUGAUUAUUCGUUGCUUGAAUAUUUGUUUUAAUAAUUGAUAAACGGACAUUGUUUUACGGUACUCAUAUUCAACCCCACCUUGUACAAGUACAUUGUUAGGAAUAUGUUAGGCUUGAUGAUAAGUUAAAACAGUUAGUGUAAUUUUGGUUAAGUAAAUGUAGCGACCAAUUUGUAAAUAUUUAAUAUUCUAAGUAUGUAAACUACUCAAGUGAAGUGAAGAUUAACGACUAAAUCUAAGCUAUCAACGGAUGAGGAAUAAAAUUUCAUCAACGACUAAUACAGAUAAGCUAUCAACUGAUAAUAAGAAGCAAUUAAUGGCCAAGUCAUGAAAGCUAUUAACAGCUAUCACAUUGGUUUAUUAUUUGCUAAAUCAAGCAUUAUCAGUUGACAGCUACAAUAGAGAAAAAAGACAACAGUCAUAUGGGAUGGGAUGAUCAAAUAAAGUUUAAUUUGUUUCGGAAGCUAAGACAAGUAAAGGCUAGCACUAUGUUGAUCAAAUAUAUGUGUUGGAAGAAGAUGAAGAAUCAUCUUUUCGAUAUACAAUUUCAGUAGCAACAUCUUUCUUUCUGAAGAAGAUGAUUAAUGAAUGGAUGAGCUGAUUAUCCUUCUGGAUUUUCUUACAAUGAGUUACCCAUGACUUUGGAAGAACUUUAACUAGCUCGUUUUUAAAAAUUUGCUUUGGCACAUGAAUACAUGAGCUUGGUUGAGCAUCAAAUUGUAGAAAUAGUGCAUUAUUUGUAUCUCAGGGAAGACUGGGGUCAAAUAAAUGGUUUUGAAAUAUUCUAUAGGUCAUUUAAUACAGAAGACUGGCAAUAUAAGUUUUUGAAAUUUGCAGUGCUCCAAUAAUCUGAAGCUAAACUUUGAGAUUCUUUUAGAUAAAAGGGUCACCAAGCCUCAAAUUGAAGUUUGGGAAAAGCGUUACAAAAAUUGUACCAGCUUUUAACGUGGUUUGAACAAUAGCUGCUUAUGCACCAAAAGUGUCAUCCUUGCAAAAACUAGUAGUCAUUUCCUUCAUAGAGGGUUAGAGGCAUUCUAACAGCUCCAAAAUGAAGUUGAGAAAAGUUUUGCAUCCGUCACUGCUUUGGCAACGAAUCUCCCAACAAAAUAGAAAGAAUAUGGACUUGCUCGAGCUUUGAAAUCAAGACUAGAUCUUUAGCUUCUAAAUAAGAAGAAAGAACAUUAUGUUUUUUAGUGAAAGCUCGAUAUGGGUUUAGCAAAGAAAGUUAUGUGAUAGUAAUCUUAUUAUCUUCAUUGUUGUAAUUUAUAGAUUCAAGAAAAUCACAUUUUUUAUUGAGAGGAAGAAAAGAGUUCUUAGAAGAAAAAAAAGGAUGAAGAAGAUAGUUGGUCGGCUUAGGGACAACUUGAUAGAUAUCAAUCUAGCAUAUCAAUAAUACGAUGAUACUUGUAUUAAUAUCUUUAUCAUAAAAGAUAAGAUUCUUUAUUUAAAAUUAUUACUUCCAUUUUACUAUAUAUUUCCACACAUUUUUAUUGGACUAUAUAUUUUCUUCCAUUGGACUAUAUAUUUUAAAAGAUUUUUGACUAACCUGUGUUAUUGGACUAUAUAUUUUCUUACAAAAUAUCUAUAUAUUUUUAAAAGAUUUUUGACAAUCAAGUCGAGACGUAAUUCUUGAUUAUGAGUUCCUGAUAUAUCUAUAAGAGGUGUAAAAUUUUUCAAUUUAGGCAAAGUUUCGGUUUCUUGAAUAGAAAUCCACUCCGAAUCCUUAUGUAGGACUCCAGGUUGAAGUUAUGGAUUAUUUGGUUCAUGGGCGUCUAGAAUCAGGUAUGGAGUUUGUUCAUUCCAAAUUCAUAUCUAGUGUUUGGUUAGAGAAUAUAAAAUCUUAAACCCCCAAGAUAUGGGUUUUGAUACCCAAGUGGGGAGUUAGGUAUUAUGCAUUCAUUUUUAAUUUUUUUGGCCUUUAUUUAAGUAAUGAAAUAUUAAUAUUAUAUACAAAAUUAAAUCAAUGAUGCAAAAAAUAACUUAUUAAUAACUUAAUAACUUAAUAUAAAUUAAUAACUUAUUUUUUACAAAAAUAAUGUAUAUAUAAAUUUCAACACUCAACGAACACAUGAUAUCAUAUAUGAUAUCUCAAAGGAUCAAACUCAUAAAUUCAUACCCAACUUAACCCGAUUACUCCUUCCACCACAUGUAACUCCUCGAAACCAAAUACAGUCUUUAUUUUCAAACCGAAUUUGGGUUACUCAACCCAAUAAAGUCUUUAUUUUCAAACCGAAGUUGGGCUCCCAUCAUGAAUUCUGGGCUUAUAUUUAAUUAAACAUCAAGUAUAAUUAAAUAAUUUAUUUUAGAUCAUAUAAUUAUAAAGUAUGAAAUUAAAUAUGGGGAAAACCCCAAAAGUUCAAAUUUAGGGAUGAAUAAUUUUUUUCUUUUUAAAAGAAAAUUCAUUUUAAAAUUUGAAAUGCGGAGAAGAAUUCUAAAAAUAUAAAAAUUGGGUAUAUUUUGUUUAUAAUCUAGGGAAAUCUACAAAACUACCUACCUUUUCUUUAAUUAUUUACAAAAAUACUACCUUCCAGAAUUAUUUUUAAAAAUACCUUUUCAUAAAAUUGUUUUUUCAAAAAUACUGUUUGCAACUUUUGCAACCUCAUUUGCAACUAGCCAGCCGUGUUGCAACCUCUUUUGCAACUUCAUCUGCAACUGAAUUUCUGAUUUCAAGUUCCAGUUUUCAAAUGUCAUUUUCGACCUCAUUUUCGGAAUCGAUAUAUAUAUAUAUAUAUAUCGAUUCCGAAAAUGAGGUCGAAAAUGACAUUUGAAAACUGGAACUUGAAAUCAGAAUUUGUAAUUGCAUAUAUGGUUGCAUAUGGUUGUAUUCAGUUGCAUAUGGUUGCAUUCAGUUGAUUCUAUUGUAUUCUAAUGGCCCCGCCAGGGGCACACCAUACAUCUGUUGUUACUUACAGUUUUCAGUUGCAUUUAGUUGCAACUGAGGUUGCAAAUGAAGUUGCAAAAGUUGCAACUGCAGUUGCAACCUCAUUUGCAACUUUUGCAACCUCAUUUACAACUAUAUAUAGUUUUCAGUUGCAUUAAGUUGCAACUGAAGUUGCAACUGCAGUAGCAACUGAAGUUGCAAAAGUUGCAACUGCAGUUGCAACUUUUGCAACCUCAUUUGCAACUUACUGUUUUCAGUUGAACUAGUUGCAACUGCAGUUGCAACCGUUGCAACUUUUCAUUUUUAUUUGCAACUUUUGCAACCUCAUUUGCAACUUUUACGGCUGCGCCGCCCAAGGUUGCAAAAGUUGCAAAUCGUAUUUUUGAAAAAAAAAUUUUAUGAAAAGGUAUUUUUAAAAACAAUGAAAAAGAUGGUAGUAUUUUUAAAAAAAUGAUUUUACAGAUGGGUAUUUUUAAAAAGAUCCCUAUAAUUUAAUAUGAUGAAUAUUUAUUGAAUCAUUAUAGAUUAAUUUUCUCUUUUCCCCUGAAUUUAUAAUUUUUUGUUUGUACCGGAAAAAAAUUGUUUCUUAUUUCCCAUGUUCUCAUAUUUAAAAAUAUUUUUCUCUAUAAAAAUAUAUUCUACUAUUCCCCUUUUUUUUUUUUGAUUUUCUAGUAUAUUUCUUAAAAUCAAUCUCUUAUUUCUAUAUUGAAUUUAAAUAUUAUUAGUUUUAUUAUAUAUUUCCUAUAAUCGAAAUUUUAAUUUCGUCCCUAUAUUCGAAUAUUCUCUUAUUCCCAAUUUUACUUUUUCAUUUUUUCCUAAAUUUGAUUUUUCUAUUUCUAUUAUUAUAAAAUGUUUUUCUAAUUUGUAAUAGUUUGAGUAGACAAAAUUCUAAUACAGUAAUCGCCUAUAGUAUUUUCUUGUUAAAUAGCCCUGCAAAUAUACAAUAUACAAUUAAAAGACAGUAGUAGUAAAAGAGAAAAAAGGAGAAAGAAAUGUUUCGACUGUUAGUUACUAGGAGGCCAUUGCGUAGUGAUUCACAUCAUCAUCAAUCUUUCUAGGAGGCCAUUGCGUAGUGAUUCACAUCAUCAUCAAUCUUUCGCCAUGGCGACAUUAAUCUCUUACUGUGUUCGUAGUGUUAAAGAAAGCGCGAAGGUAUUUUAUUGUAUUCAUUUCUAUCAAUUCUUUAUUUCUUCUGCACAUUCUUGACUCUGAAUAAUUUAUUGUAUUCGUUUUUAUCAGUUCUUGAUUUCUUUCUUGACUCUGAAUAAUUUAUUGUAUUCGUUCCUAUCAAUUCUUGAUUUCUUCUGCACAUUCUUGACUCUGAAUAAUUUAUUGUAUUCGUUUCUAUCAAUUCUUGUUUUUUUUCAUAGUGUCUCCGUCAAUCUUGAUUUGUUUUCUGUCUAAUCAUGUUCUGUUUGAUUUAACUGCUAUUGAUUUCAUAAUUACAGUUCUUGAAAACUAGGCACAUAAGCACAACUAUAUCUUCUGCUGCUAGACAUGUCCCUACAAGCCAGGGAUGCAGCUGGGAUUAUCCAGGUAGAAGAAAUAACCCUGUAUAUAAACAAUAAAACCACUGAGACAUUGCUUGUUUUCUGAUACUGUCAUAUACUCUCAGGGGUACUCUUGGCCAGGAAUAUCACUGAUCCAAGCACUCCCAGUGUAGCAGCAGUUCUCAGAGGUUCACAAAAUGUAUGCAGACCACCGAGAAGACCAAUCCCUGAGGAAGGUAAACACUAUACCAUAUAAGUAUGACAACAAUAAAACCUCCAACAUUCUUAAUUAAUUAUUAUUAUUGCGCUCUUAGAAACGAUUUACACUUGUAGAUAGACGACUAAUUCUAAGAAUCCAGAUCUUACCUGGGUACUUAAAUUUCAAUAUCCACUGCCUGGCCACGGCAAGGUACAACGAUCUAUCCAAGUACCUAACAGAUGAACAAAAAAGGAGGGACUCUGAAAAAAGAAGAAGUGAAUCUAAGCUAGAAAGCAUCUACGUCAGCGAACCUCAGCAGAAUGUCAAAGAAGUCGUCAUGGUAAUCACUUUUCACUUUAGGAAUUUAAAAUGUGAAACAUAGGCUUUUAAUUGAUUGUUUUUAUAUCUAUGAUUUAGGAGAUCAAAAACCUACCCUUCCGGAAGAGGGUAGGUUUUUUUACUUUGGGCGGAAAAAAUUCUCGCUUACAGUGGUGAAUUUUUUUGAAUAAUAAUUGACUAAUUUCGGU
RNAcentral lists this long non-coding RNA (28669 nucleotides) under Daucus carota (carrot). RNAcentral describes it as "long non-coding RNA (DCAR_LNC006465)". The record is from RNAcentral. Lineage: Eukaryota; Viridiplantae; Streptophyta; Magnoliopsida; Apiales; Apiaceae.